Molecule: long non-coding RNA, 843 nt
Organism: Solea senegalensis (Senegalese sole)
Lineage: Eukaryota; Metazoa; Chordata; Actinopteri; Pleuronectiformes; Soleidae
Exons: 4
Source: RefSeq, a predicted model, not a curated record
UUGGUCUUGAUGUUUGUUCUCAGACGGAAGCAUGUGAAUAUUUUUGAUCAGGUGAUGUUUAGAUCGCCGAUGAAAGGAAAGUGGUGACAAAGGUGAGAAUCUGUGGGUGGAGUGGAGUAUAAAGACAGUCGUGAAGACAGACAGACAGACAGACAGUCAAAGAGAUAUCUCAGGACAGACAGAGCUUUGAGGUCAAGGUGAAGAAGACACAGUGAAAAUGAACGUCAAACACAUUCUGUGUGCUGUCGCUUUGACCCUCGUUCUCUUCUGCCAGGGUGGUCAGUCAGACUCAGGCUAUGGUCACGCGGUCAUGUACGACGACCACGAAGAGCACGAUGACGGCGGCAGCGUGUUCGGCGCGGCCAGCGCCCUCCACGUCUCCCACGUGUCCGCCGUCGGCGUCCUGCUGCUGUCGCUCUACGCACUGAUCCACGCGUGACAGGAAACAAGACAUUCACUGUCUGAAUGUACGUCCACGGAGGAAGAGGAGGAAACAUUUACGUGUCUAUCAAACACACACCUGCUAUAAUCAGAAAUGGGAUGGGGCUUGAAUUAGUGAUUAUGGGAUGCAACGCUGCAACGUUUUCAUUGUGUUGAUAUUGUAUCGAUCGGUUUUUGCUUUUGUGUUUAAGCCUCCGACCACUAGGUGGCAGCAGAUCUUUGAAGAUUGGGACAGACUGACACGUCUAUGUAUCAAUUUUGGCAAUAAUUCAUGGUACAGUUGUCCUGCUUCUAUUCCACGUCUGACAUUUACCCAUAAACAUCAUACUGUGGACUGUUAAGGUGUCGUGACAUUGUUACGUCCCUACUUUAAAUAAACGCACGGUGCUGUCUGAAUGCUUA